CUCAACUGAAAACAGCUCUUUCGCCUCGCUCGAAAAAUUUCGAACACAACAAUACAAAUUUCAAAUAGAUUUUUGAAUCUUAUUAGUUUAGUAUGUUCGAUUGUUAUGAUGGGGUGCUUUAAAGAUGUCUAUAUCUUCCUUCUCAGAUGGUAAUCUAUAGAAAACAGAUGUUGUAUCAAACCCUAAUUUUUUGGUACCGGUUUUUUAAUUCAUUGUUGGGGUUCCUCCUGUUCAUGGUUUUAGAUGCAGUUUGUGAUCCAGAGGGCGAAGUACAGGUAAUUUAGGGUUUCUUUAAUUAACUCUGAUGAGAAUUUGAUUGGAGUCGGAUAAUGUUAUUGGGUUGAUGAUUACAGAGAAUUAAAAGGGGCUGUUGUUGAUUUAUCGAUGGGAGGUUAUUCUGAUGAAGAAUCACAAAACCAGGUAAUUUAGGGUUUCUUUAAUUAACUCUGUUUGUGUGGAAUUGAUUUAUAAUUUGAUCAAAUUAUGAUGGUUUGCUCUUAAUUGAAUUAUAAUUAGAUGUAUUAGGCUUAAUUUAAGUUUCUUUAGGAAUUAGGUGAAGGGGGUUGUGUAAUUAGGGUUCAUGAGUUGAGUAAUUUCAGAUAAAGAAAACGUUUUUAAUGGAGGUGUUUGAAUUCAGGUUAACUGAAUUAAGGGUUUGCAUUCAAGGAAAUUUAAAUUUGGGAUUUCAAGAGAUUUCAAUAUUUGGGAAAUUUUCAGAAAUUAGGGGAAAUAACAAAAAGAAGCUGUUGGUGUUAUUGAUGCUGGGAUGGAAGAAAGAAGUCAUGGAAUGGAAUGAAAUGGAUUUGUGGCUGUAGUUUAUGUUUUCUUCAGAUUCAGGGGAUGUGAAGUUUGAUUUUGAAUUGAAGGUGAUGGCUUGGGCAGUUAUGGAGUGAAUUGUGGUUGCUGUUGAUGAUUUAGAAUUAGGGUUGUGUGAUCAGAGGGUGUUGAUGAAAGUGAAAUCUGUGAUGAGCUUAAGAAGAUGAUGAAGAUUGAUUUGUGGUCUUGGCUUGAGGUUGUGAAGGGGAUACUUUGAUUCAGCUGAACUGGUGUGCUGGUGGUGUUGAUCAGGAGGUGUUGUAUCUAGAGAUGGCAGGUUUGGUGAACUGAUGUUGGAAGUGGAGUUGAACUGUGGAUGUGGUUGAUAUGGGAUGCAGUUGAGUUGCAGUUGAAGAUUAUGAAUGAGCUGUUGGGGUUCAUGUUACAGCUUUGCAAAGUAAGAAUUGCAAAGUAAGAAUAUCUGUUGCAAAGUAAGAAAAUUCAUCGUCUUUGGAACAUCUGAAUUUCAUAUUUCAUACAUCGAAUGGCUUGGCUUCAAUGACGAGGGGAUGAAGAUGGCAGCCAACAACAACAAAUCUGGGUUCUGAAUCGAAAUUGGGGAUUUCUGGAGCUGAUAAACAUCAAAAGAUCUGGUUCUUCUUCGUUAUGAACUAUUACUACUGAAUUCUUUAUGCAACCUAUACGAACCCUAGAUAGUAACUCGAACUUCUUAAUCGAAAGUAUUGAAUUCAAAUUCGAGCGCCAUGACCUGAUUCUCUCUUAUUCUAAUCAGGGGUUCCUCCUGUUCACGGUGUUCGAUUUAGGCAAGAUAAUUGGAACGACUAAUGCUGUUUGAACCAAUCUCCGUGCAUAAUUUUUCGAGGAACAUUGAUGGGGUUAAUAGAUUUCGUGUAAGAAAUUCUAUUGAAGCAAAUCUAUUCUAGGUUUGAAAAAGAGACAGGAGAACACGAGGAAUAGUAUUAUGCAGCUUAUAUCCUUCGGAACUAGCAUAUUUGUCUCUCCUGUGGAUUUCUGAGAGUUGCUGCUGUGACGAGUUUUGCAGGUGUUGGAUGAUCUCAUAGGAGGAAGAAGAUUCGUGAUAAAUCAAAACAAAUUGGCAGAGAAAAAUCCAGCCUCUUAAGAGAUUGUUGUAUCUGCUUAAUGUAAUUGUUGUUGUUGUUGAGGGUCUGAUGUAAUCAUGGCUGCGCCAAAUUUCUGUUGCAGGGUUUCAAUGGGGCUCAUCUGCACUUAAGCUGGGAUGUUUGCAAUCUCUGUCUUUUGAUUUCGAUUGUAGGUAAAUCUCUUCUAAACAAGUACGUAACAGCGUAUUUGUUACUAUCGCUUGGAUCACAGAGUGGAGUACCUACAGCAGGUAAUUUUGGGCAAAUAACAUGGGUUUCUAAUAGGCUUAUUCAGCUGGGAAACGGGAACACUCACAAUCCCGCAUACUUACAGUUGGGAUGCGGAGGUCCUUUCCCACAGACCUUGAUAUGUCCCUUGCUCUCUGAUUGUUAUUUGAAUUUUCUUAUGUAUUUAGCUAGCAGGCAUUUGCUGAUGGCUACGUUCUUUCCUCUGUACAAAUUCAAAAUUUGGGUUCAGGGUUUGCUGAUUUAUUUCAUUGACCAUGCAUAUUGUUGCAUAUAGUCUCUAGCUAUUACGCUUUGCUUGCCCGGCUAUUGUGAUUAUGAGCAUGGUAGAAUUUUCGUGAACAUUCGUGGGUCCUUAGAUAGCUUUGAGGUGUGGUGCUGCUGCUCUAACAUAAAACAUGGGUGCUUCAGAAUUGUGUAAACCUUGCACAGAGCAUGGGUGUAACAUAGAAGUAACGGUGUUGCUUAUCAUUUAGCUAAGCUGGAUGCUUUCAUUAAUCAUAGAUAAUUCUGAAGUUGGAUGAAUUGUCGUUAUGUAUAAAGCUAUUACUAACAGUUUUUUGUUUUUGUUUAUGUAGGACAAAAAGGGUUUCAAACUAUCAACACUGCCAGCACUAUAUCCUGUCUCGAGUAGGGCAGCAGGUGAAUCAUUGUUGCUUACUGUUAAACAUGCAAAAACUCAUAAUUUUAUUGCUAACUGUUAAGCUAUCAUAGAUAAUUACGCAGACGAUGAUUUGCAUAAGAGAUGGGUAUAUGUUGAAAACAAAUCCUUUUUUUCCCUUCUUUUCUUUUGAUUUUUAUACAUUAGUUUUAUCUUUUUGCUGAAGUCUUAUUUAGUCGAGUAUUUAAAUCAUUUUACAUGUAGCUUUUGACAGCUGUAGGUAGAAAAUCUUCACCAUCGAUUAGUAAUUAUAAUUGGCCGAAGUAUAAUAUUUAACAGAAUCAUACAAAUUGAUGCUUCAUCGUGUUCACGACCAGCAACACUGGUUCACCUGUGUGUAAUUAAUGCUUCAUACAAAUUGAUGCUACCGGUGAUGCUGUGAUGAUGGUGAAUGCAGUUUUGGAGCUCGAAAGAAAGGUGGGGUUCUUAGCUGUGGUUGGCCGCAGCGGACUAAGAUGAGAUAUUCUGAGGUCGUAAGAAAACGGAGAUGGAAAAGGAAGAUGAGAGUAACGAAUCAGUGGUGCUGCUGCCAUUUAUUCUCGAUACUCGAGUUUGAGUUCACAGGGAAGUUGAAAUGACAAGAUUGGGUUUGCUGUGGUAAUGAAGAUUAAGCUGUGCUGACUAUGAAACUCUAUGCCAAUGGCAGUGAUGAGACUGAACGACAGAUUGAUGGCUGCAACGAUGAAGCUAAAAAUAGGUAUCCAUUGGCCUGUUGAGUUUCUGCUGCUCAAGUCGUAUACAUAGAGAAGUUUGAAUAGAAAAGUGAUCAGUCAAGAGAACCAGCAAGCUGGAGAUUGAUGAAAAUAGCAGCUCGAGAAGGAAACAGAAGUUGUAUAAUCUGUUGCCGAUGAUGACUAUGAAAGCCUGAGAAUGUGACAAGGUUACACUGUCAGUUCCAGAUGACUAACGAUCAACUUACAAAGUGGGCUGGAUCUUGAAAGUUGAAUGCGAGCCCAAUAGGCUAUUAGCCAUUAUAUUUUACACAAACAGAAUUUAUUUUAUUGAGCCGACUCCAUGAUUUUAUAACCAAAUGGACAUCAGGUGGUUUUCCAACGGAAGUUAUGGAUAUAAAAUGUAACAAAGCUCAAGGAUUUUCUGUUUUUGUGGUCAUUGUAUUUGUGUAUUAUUUGACCAAGUAGGUGUUACCAGCCAAUACUCAAAUCUAAUCAGUUCUCUACUUACCUCAA
Molecule: long non-coding RNA, 3971 nt
Organism: Papaver somniferum (opium poppy)
Lineage: Eukaryota; Viridiplantae; Streptophyta; Magnoliopsida; Ranunculales; Papaveraceae
Exons: 7
Source: RefSeq, a predicted model, not a curated record